This 1556-nucleotide ribosomal RNA is filed under the name Escherichia coli. Its description in RNAcentral is "bacterial SSU rRNA". It matches the Rfam family "Bacterial small subunit ribosomal RNA". RNAcentral also lists the same sequence under 2 other names. The record is from RNAcentral. Lineage: Bacteria; Pseudomonadati; Pseudomonadota; Gammaproteobacteria; Enterobacterales; Enterobacteriaceae.
UUAAAUUGAAGAGUUUGAUCAUGGCUCAGAUUGAACGCUGGCGGCAGGCCUAACACAUGCAAGUCGAACGGUAACAGGAAACAGCUUGCUGUUUCGCUGACGAGUGGCGGACGGGUGAGUAAUGUCUGGGAAACUGCCUGAUGGAGGGGGAUAACUACUGGAAACGGUAGCUAAUACCGCAUAACGUCGCAAGACCAAAGAGGGGGACCUUCGGGCCUCUUGCCAUCGGAUGUGCCCAGAUGGGAUUAGCUUGUUGGUGGGGUAACGGCUCACCAAGGCGACGAUCCCUAGCUGGUCUGAGAGGAUGACCAGCCACACUGGAACUGAGACACGGUCCAGACUCCUACGGGAGGCAGCAGUGGGGAAUAUUGCACAAUGGGCGCAAGCCUGAUGCAGCCAUGCCGCGUGUAUGAAGAAGGCCUUCGGGUUGUAAAGUACUUUCAGCGGGGAGGAAGGGAGUAAAGUUAAUACCUUUGCUCAUUGACGUUACCCGCAGAAGAAGCACCGGCUAACUCCGUGCCAGCAGCCGCGGUAAUACGGAGGGUGCAAGCGUUAAUCGGAAUUACUGGGCGUAAAGCGCACGCAGGCGGUUUGUUAAGUCAGAUGUGAAAUCCCCGGGCUCAACCUGGGAACUGCAUCUGAUACUGGCAAGCUUGAGUCUCGUAGAGGGGGGUAGAAUUCCAGGUGUAGCGGUGAAAUGCGUAGAGAUCUGGAGGAAUACCGGUGGCGAAGGCGGCCCCCUGGACGAAGACUGACGCUCAGGUGCGAAAGCGUGGGGAGCAAACAGGAUUAGAUACCCUGGUAGUCCACGCCGUAAACGAUGUCGACUUGGAGGUUGUGCCCUUGAGGCGUGGCUUCCGGAGCUAACGCGUUAAGUCGACCGCCUGGGGAGUACGGCCGCAAGGUUAAAACUCAAAUGAAUUGACGGGGGCCCGCACAAGCGGUGGAGCAUGUGGUUUAAUUCGAUGCAACGCGAAGAACCUUACCUGGUCUUGACAUCCACGGAAGUUUUCAGAGAUGAGAAUGUGCCUUCGGGAACCGUGAGACAGGUGCUGCAUGGCUGUCGUCAGCUCGUGUUGUGAAAUGUUGGGUUAAGUCCCGCAACGAGCGCAACCCUUAUCCUUUGUUGCCAGCGGUCCGGCCGGGAACUCAAAGGAGACUGCCAGUGAUAAACUGGAGGAAGGUGGGGAUGACGUCAAGUCAUCAUGGCCCUUACGACCAGGGCUACACACGUGCUACAAUGGCGCAUACAAAGAGAAGCGACCUCGCGAGAGCAAGCGGACCUCAUAAAGUGCGUCGUAGUCCGGAUUGGAGUCUGCAACUCGACUCCAUGAAGUCGGAAUCGCUAGUAAUCGUGGAUCAGAAUGCCACGGUGAAUACGUUCCCGGGCCUUGUACACACCGCCCGUCACACCAUGGGAGUGGGUUGCAAAAGAAGUAGGUAGCUUAACCUUCGGGAGGGCGCUUACCACUUUGUGAUUCAUGACUGGGGUGAAGUCGUAACAAGGUAACCGUAGGGGAACCUGCGGUUGGAUCACCUCCUUACCUUAAAGAAGC